AGGCCCAAACUUUACCGAUAUAAAAAGGAUUGGGAACACUUCAUACAUAUUAAGGAGAGACAUAUUCGUGUGCCCAAACACACCAGAAUAUCGCCAAAGUCGUUGAAACUUGAAAGAAGAAACAGACUUGUCUGUCACACUGCUCAGCCGCCGGAACAAUAAGGAGGAUGGAUUUGGUGUGGUUAAUAAGUGUUCUACUUCUUGGAGCUGCACUUGGAUUUUACAUCAGCACUUUACGACAAACCCGCCAAAUCUUUGCCCUCUCCAAAUCUGUCGCCAUAAAUGCAGGAUCCAGCGGAAAUAAGAAGACCAAGUCCAAGGAACCCCUCGAGAUAGAGAAACUCGCUGAUCUUCGCAAAAAUUUCAAAAUGGUUUUGGUUGUGAGGAAUGAUCUUAAAAUGGGUAAAGGGAAGAUUGCAGCUCAAUGCAGUCAUGCAACUUUAGGUUUAUACAAGAAACUCCUUCAACGGGCGCCAAGAGCCUUGAACAGAUGGGAAUAUUGUGCUCAGCCAAAAGUUGUUGUCAAAAUCGAAAGUGAGGAAGAGAUGCUAGUUUUGCAAGUGAGUUUACUGAACAUGUGCUACAGAAAUAUACUUUCCCUUUGCAAGAUUGCAGUUUCUUUGUUAUUGAAUCUGUGUUUUAAGUUACAAAACAGAAGAAAAAAAGUCAUAAGAUCCUAUGUGAAGAUUGUAACAAUGUUGUUGAUACCUACAGGAAAGAGCAAAGACCCUUAAACUGCCAACCCAUAUCACCAUUGAUGCCGGAAAAACACAGAUCGCUCCAAAUUCAAGAACAGUAAUGGCUAUUCUUGGACCGGUUGAUAAUGUUGAUGAAGUAACAGGUGGACUAAAGCUUAUGUAAUAACUCUAGGAUUCGACAUUACCACACUCUGGCAGAAGGAAGAGGAUGCUAAUUGGCUCCGAAUUUUUCAACAUUUCUCGGUGACAAAUCUGCCUCCCCAUCUUCGGAGUAGAUAACUCAAUUUUGCAUGGAUUUGUACAAUUGUCUUACUAGAAAAUAAUCAUAUGACAACAUUUGCUGAUUAUCCCAUAAAUUUUAAAGAUGAAGAGUCAGUUUUGAUGCUUUCUUUUGUUUUAUUGAGAGACCUUUAUCUAUGAACUAAAGCGGUUUAAGCGACGGAUGAUUCUGACU
Arabidopsis lyrata subsp. lyrata is the source of this 1152-nucleotide RNA transcript. It is a transcript of the gene named peptidyl-tRNA hydrolase 2, mitochondrial, with no coding region annotated. The record is from RefSeq and is a predicted model, not a curated record. The transcript is spliced from 7 exons. NCBI's taxonomy places the organism in Eukaryota, Viridiplantae, Streptophyta, Magnoliopsida, Brassicales, Brassicaceae.